This 245-nucleotide ribosomal RNA is filed under the name uncultured bacterium. Its description in RNAcentral is "partial 16S ribosomal RNA". It matches the Rfam family "Bacterial small subunit ribosomal RNA", at positions 524 to 768 of the family's 1533-position model. The record is from RNAcentral.
UACGAAGGGGGCUAGCGUUGCUCGGAAUUACUGGGCGUAAAGGGCGCGUAGGCGGCGCAGUUAGUCAGGCGUGAAAUUCCUGGGCUCAACCUGGGGACUGCGCUUGAUACGGCUGUGCUAGAGGAUGGAAGAGGCUCGCGGAAUUCCCAGUGUAGAGGUGAAAUUCGUAGAUAUUGGGAAGAACACCGGUGGCGAAGGCGGCGAGCUGGUCCAUUACUGACGCUGAGGCGCGACAGCGUGGGGAG